Molecule: non-coding RNA, 280 nt
Organism: Pelobates cultripes (western spadefoot toad)
Lineage: Eukaryota; Metazoa; Chordata; Amphibia; Anura; Pelobatidae
Source: the annotation of a GenBank genome assembly
UUUAUUUUUUAAUUUUUUUUUAAAGAUCGAGUAACAUAUAUUUGAAACUGUGGCUGAAGAGUUAGCCCAAACACAUAGGACAAAUCAGUACUUUUGUUGUAAUAGCUUAGCAAUUGCAGAACAUUUUCAAUUAUGGCAGCUUAAAAUUUUAUAGUUUUUUUUUUCCUUUCUAGAAAUAAUAUGAAUGCAAUAGUUUAUGGAUUAUAUAGUAUCCCUAAUCUUGCAACAUUUCAUAUUAGUUCAAAUAUAUUAGCAUAUGAAAAUAUAAUACAUCGUUGUU